This 435-nucleotide ribosomal RNA is filed under the name uncultured bacterium. RNAcentral's name for it is "partial 16S ribosomal RNA". It matches the Rfam family "Bacterial small subunit ribosomal RNA", at positions 29 to 507 of the family's 1533-position model. The record is from RNAcentral.
AGCGAACGCUGGCGGCAGGCUUAACACAUGCAAGUCGAGCGGGCAUGGCAAUAUGUCAGCGGCAGACGGGUGAGUAACGCGUGGGAACGUACCUUUUGGUUCGGAACAACUGAGGGAAACUUCAGCUAAUACCGGAUAAGCCCUUACGGGGAAAGAUUUAUCGCCGAAAGAUCGGCCCGCGUCUGAUUAGCUAGUUGGUGAGGUAAUGGCUCACCAAGGCGACGAUCAGUAGCUGGUCUGAGAGGAUGAUCAGCCACAUUGGGACUGAGACACGGCCCAAACUCCUACGGGAGGCAGCAGUGGGGAAUAUUGGACAAUGGGCGCAAGCCUGAUCCAGCCAUGCCGCGUGAGUGAUGAAGGCCCUAGGGUUGUAAAGCUCUUUUGUGCGGGAAGAUAAUGACGGUACCGCAAGAAUAAGCCCCGGCUAACUUCGUG